UGAGCAAUCUGCCCUUCUCUUCGGAAUAAGCGUUGGAAACGACGUCUAAUGCCGAAUACGACCUCCUUUCGCAUGAUUGGAGGUGGAAAGCUCCGGCGGAGAAGGAUGAGCUCGCGGCCUAUCAGCUAGUUGGUGUGGGUAAUGGCCCACCAAGGCGACGGCGGGUAGCCGGCCUGAGAGGGUGAUCGGCCACACUGGGACUGAGACACGGCCCAGACCUCCGUACGGGAGCAG
Molecule: ribosomal RNA, 234 nt
Filed under: uncultured bacterium
Lineage: Bacteria
Description: partial 16S ribosomal RNA
Rfam family: Bacterial small subunit ribosomal RNA
Source: RNAcentral